Molecule: long non-coding RNA, 201 nt
Filed under: Lathyrus oleraceus (garden pea)
Lineage: Eukaryota; Viridiplantae; Streptophyta; Magnoliopsida; Fabales; Fabaceae
Description: Pisum sativum (pea) long non-coding RNA (PSAT_LNC023468)
Source: RNAcentral
CUCACUGCCUGUGUGAGUCAAACUCUUGUUAGAGACUUCAAUAUAGGGAUCAUUUGCAUGACAACUUCUAGGCUCGAGUCGUAGUCUCCCUUUUAGUUGUUAUUUCCCUUUGUCUCUAGUUAGGAUAGAAGUUUUUCCCUGUUAAGGGGAACUGCGUCGCCCUGAUCCUCAUACCAGAUGAGGUACGUAGGCAGGAGAUCG